Molecule: ribosomal RNA, 484 nt
Filed under: uncultured bacterium
Lineage: Bacteria
Description: partial 16S ribosomal RNA
Rfam family: Bacterial small subunit ribosomal RNA
Source: RNAcentral
AUUGAACGCUGGCGGCAGGCCUAACACAUGCAAGUCGAGCGGAUGAAGGGAGCUUGCUCCUGGAUUCAGCGGCGGACGGGUGAGUAAUGCCUAGGAAUCUGCCUGGUAGUGGGGGAUAACGUCCGGAAACGGGCGCUAAUACCGCAUACGUCCUGAGUGAGAAAGUGGGGGAUCUUCGGACCUCACGCUAUCAGAUGAGCCUAGGUCGGAUUAGCUAGUUGGUGGGGUAAAGGCCUACCAAGGCGACGAUCCGUAACUGGUCUGAGAGGAUGAUCAGUCACACUGGAACUGAGACACGGUCCAGACUCCUACGGGAGGCAGCAGUGGGGAAUAUUGGACAAUGGGCGAAAGCCUGAUCCAGCCAUGCCGCGUGUGUGAAGAAGGUCUUCGGAUUGUAAAGCACUGUAAGUUGGGAGGAAGGGCAGUAAGUGAAUACCUUGCUGUUUUGACGUUACCAACAGAAUAAGCACCGGCUAACUUCGUG